AGUGAACGCUGGCGGUAGGCCUAACACAUGCAAGUCGAACGGCAGCACAGUAAGCGCUUGCUCUUACGGGUGGCGAGUGGCGGACGGGUGAGGAAUACAUCGGCAUCUACUUUUUCGUGGGGGAUAACGUAGGGAAACUUACGCUACUACCGCAUACGACCUACGGGUGAAAGCAGGGGAGCUUCGGACCUUGCGCGAUUGAAUGAGCCGAUGUCGGAUUAGCUAGUUGGCGGGGUAAAGGCCCACCAAGGCGACGAUCCGUAGCUGGUCUGAGAGGAUGAUCAGCCACACUGGAACUGAGACACGGUCCAGACUCCUACGGGAGGCAGCAGUGGGGAAUAUUGGACAAUGGGCGAAAGCCUGAUCCAGCCAUACCGCGUGGGUGAAGAAGGCCUUCGGGUUGUAAAGCCCUGUUGUUGGGAAAGAAAAGCAGCAGGUUAAUACCCCGCUGUUCUGACGGUACCCAAAGAAUAAGCACCGGCUAACUUCGUG
This 492-nucleotide ribosomal RNA is filed under the name uncultured bacterium. Its description in RNAcentral is "partial 16S ribosomal RNA". It matches the Rfam family "Bacterial small subunit ribosomal RNA", at positions 29 to 507 of the family's 1533-position model. The record is from RNAcentral.